UUUAGCAGCUAUCCUAUUUAAUUAAACAUUCCUGGCUAUGAUACAGAAAAGAUUAGCACGGCCCCUGCACAAGGAUGACACACAAUUUUGUGAAGCGUUCCGUAUUUUU
Molecule: small nuclear RNA, 109 nt
Filed under: Catagonus wagneri (Chacoan peccary)
Lineage: Eukaryota; Metazoa; Chordata; Mammalia; Artiodactyla; Tayassuidae
Source: RNAcentral